RNAcentral lists this transfer RNA (58 nucleotides) under Cyphocaris challengeri. RNAcentral's name for it is "tRNA-Arg". Lineage: Eukaryota; Metazoa; Arthropoda; Malacostraca; Amphipoda; Cyphocarididae. The record is from RNAcentral.
CAGAUUAAAGUAAAUAUUACAAUCAGUUUCGACCUGAUAUUUGGGUAUCCUUUUCUGG